Molecule: long non-coding RNA, 953 nt
Filed under: Capsicum annuum
Lineage: Eukaryota; Viridiplantae; Streptophyta; Magnoliopsida; Solanales; Solanaceae
Description: long non-coding RNA (CANN_LNC001847)
Source: RNAcentral
AUAAACCUAUUGUUCAAGUUGGUUUUUGGAAUGUUUUGCAAAUAUUGGUAGUAUGGAAUUAUGGAAGAGAAUUGUGGUGUUGGGUUGCUAAUACUAGAUGCCAAACAUUUCAUUGUAGAUAAGUGAUUUGUAAAGGCGGGAAGUUGUGUUGAAUUGGUAUCCGAAUCUACAACGAGGUAUGUAAAGCAUACUCUAACAAUGUUCUUUGGCAUGAAAACACCAAUGUUCCAUCAAGUAAGAUUCCGAGGUUGUCCAAAAACAUGUAUUGUUCUACGUUACCAACGAAGUUGUUUCCAUUCUAUAAAGUGUCAAAAUGUUUCAUUGAUAUACCAAAAGGCUCCUAUUUCAUUGUUGUGAUAUUGAUGAUUCUGAAACACAUUGUUGAUGUACCAAUGAGUCUUUAUUACAUCGUUAUUGUAUAGAAGGUCUAUUACUUGGUUCCUAUUGAUGUAUCAUUGUUUCAAAGUAUCAAAAAUGUGGUGGCGACCGAAAUAACAAUCUCAAAGAUUAAUUGAACUAAGUGAUGGAAGUUCUCUCUUAUCGGGUGGUAUCCCAGGGGCAUAAGCCUAGCAUGGGUCGAUCCCUAUUUAUGUGUUUAUGGGUGGUAUCCCAGGGGCAUAAGCCUAGCAUGGGUCGAUCCCAGUUGAUAUGUACUGGAGGCAGCCUAAUGGUCAUAGUACAGUACAGUAAUGAUUACAAAAAUGAUAAGAACGAAGGUAAAGUGAUUGAAUAAAUACAAUGUACAGGUUGUCACAAGUUCUAGUAAGUGUGGUCCACUUCUAUUACGAUUUAUUCACUUGUUUCUAAUUUCUAUUGAGCUCUUAUAUCAUAUGUGAUUAUCUACAGCUUUACAUACUCAGUACAUAUUUCGUACUGACGUCCCUCACGGGGGACCUGCAUUUCAUGCUGCAGGCACAGGUACCUCAGCUCAUACACCGCACAAGUAGGAGCCA